This is a long non-coding RNA of Bufo bufo (common toad), 642 nucleotides long. RefSeq lists it as uncharacterized. Lineage: Eukaryota; Metazoa; Chordata; Amphibia; Anura; Bufonidae. The transcript is spliced from 3 exons. The record is from RefSeq and is a predicted model, not a curated record.
AUUUAGUGCAGACUUAGCAUGUCCGUGCUCUCCACCACUCAAAGAUGAGCUGCCAUUCUCUCUCUGUGAAUAAAAUACACUACGUACCAUCCACACCUCACGCCCUGGAAGAAGCCAUAUGUAGUGGAGGUGGCAGUUGUGCUGGUCUAUACUUAUGGGGGAAGUGGCGGUUGUGCUGGUCGAUACUUAUUGGAGAGGUGGCGGUUCUGCUGGUCUAUACAUAUUGGAGAGGUGGCGGUUGUGCUGGUCUAUACUUAUUGGAGAGGUGGCGGUUGUGCUGGUCUAUACUUAUUGGGGAGGUGGCGGUUGUGCUGGUCUAUACUUAUUGGGGAGGUGGCGGUUGUGCUGGUCUAUACUUAUUGGGGAAGUGGCGGUUGUGCUGGUCUAUGCUUAUUGGGGAGGUGGCGGUUGUGCUGGUCUCAUGUUUGCCUAUUUUACUCUUUGGGCUUGAUUAGUUGUCUGGGUCCUAAACCUUAUAUUCUGAUACUCUAGGGUGUUGCCUGGGAGUGUUUACUGUAGACUCUUGUAGACCCUUUAAUAUUUGGGGUAACCGGCAUCUCUACGUUUAUGUACCUGACUGCACUGCAUUUACCGUUCUGGGAGUGAGGGACAUCUACUUUUUUUAACUACGUUUUUUAUGUG